Molecule: long non-coding RNA, 970 nt
Filed under: Eutrema salsugineum
Lineage: Eukaryota; Viridiplantae; Streptophyta; Magnoliopsida; Brassicales; Brassicaceae
Description: long non-coding RNA (ESAL_LNC002019)
Source: RNAcentral
CCUUACGGUGACCACUGGCGAAACCUCCGUCGUAUCACAGCCUUGGAAGUCUUCUCCACAAAUCGACUCAACGGGUCAUCGGAAAUCCGACAGGACGAAGUUAAGAGGCUUCUCCAAAAGCUUCACGGUUUAUCCGUUGAGCGCCCGGCUAAAGUACGUCCAAAAAAUCGUAUAUCUUUAUUAAAAUCCAACUCUUCUAUAUUUAAUUCAUUGGUUGUUAAUUCACGCAAGUAUUAUAUUAUAUUAUAUACCUACAUAAUACGACGAAUAGAAUUUUCUCGACUUUCGACAUAUUUAAUUUAUAUCAAUAUUUUUUAUCAGUGAUUCUCAAUUAAAUCAGUUAUUUAUAGACUUUAAAAUAUUUAAGUUAACGUCGUUUUUUUUAAAGAGAAGUACCCUAAAAUUAAUAAUACUAUAAUACAGCCAAUAUGUUAUAUUAUAAUAAAUAAAUAUAAUCUUUUUUUUGAAGGUUUAUAGAUUUUUGUUUGGCUAAGAUUUAGAUUUCGUUAUGUUUCGUAGAGAAUGUGGUAAUGGGUGGAAUGCGUGUAAUCAGCUCUAAUUUUGUUUUUACUCAUUCGUUGAAAGAAACAUGGAUAUUUUAAUUGAUAUAAAUUUGCCCGAUUUAGUAGGUCGAACGAUCGGUCCGUAUUUUUUCUUUUAUAUCAAUAUCCGGAUCCAGAAAAUAAUAUGUCUUUACAUCCGAUUAUGGACUUUAAAGUAAAACAAAAAAAAACAUAACAAGAACAUCAUUUUAUUCAGGUGGAGUUUUGUUUUGGUAACAAUGUUAAGUGUAUAUUCAGGUGGAGUUACGUCCGUUACUGACGGGUCUUACCCUAAACGUGAUAAUGAGAAUGAUGACCGGAAGGAGAUUUUGCGAGGAAGAUGAAGGCGGAAAGGCGGAGAUAAGCUUGGAGUUCCGGGAGCUUGUGGCGGAGAUUCUAGAGCUCUCUGCGGCGAAUAAUCCGGCGGA